CCUACGGGUGGCUGCAGUGGGGAAUAUUGCACAAUGGGUGCAACCCUGAUGCAGCGACGCCGCGUGAGUGAGGAAGUCUUUCGGUUUGUAAAGCUCUAUCAGCAGGGAAGAAAAUGACGGUACCUGUCUAAGAAGCCCCGGCUAACUACGUGCCAGCAGCCGCGGGAAUACGUAGGGGGCAAGCGUUAUCCGGAGUUACUGGGUGUAAAGGGAGCGUAGACGGCUAAUCAAGUCAGAAGUGAAAACCCAGGGCUCAACCUUGGGACUGCGUUUGAAACUGAGUAGCUAGAGUGCAGGAGAGGUAAGCGGAAUUCCUAGUGUAGCGGUGAAAUGCGUAGAGAUGAGGAGGAACACCAGUGGCGAAGGCGGCUUACUGGACUGGAACUGACGUUGAUGCUCGAAAGCGUGGGGAGCAAACAGGAUUAGAUACCCUGGUAGUC
This 440-nucleotide ribosomal RNA is filed under the name uncultured bacterium. RNAcentral describes it as "partial 16S ribosomal RNA". It matches the Rfam family "Bacterial small subunit ribosomal RNA", at positions 338 to 795 of the family's 1533-position model. The record is from RNAcentral.